CCUACGGGGGGCUGCAGUGAGGAAUAUUGCGCAAUGGGGGCAACCCUGACGCAGCGACGCCGCGUGAGUGAGGAAGGCCUUCGGGUCGUAAAGCUCUGUCAAAGGGAAAGAAGUGUGCAAUGGCUAAUACCUGUUGCAUUUGACGGUACCCUUAAAGGAAGCACCGGCUAACUCCGUGCCAGCAGCCGCGGUAAUACGGAGGGUGCAAGCGUUGUUCGGGGUUACUUGGCGUGUUUGACACGUAGGAUGUGAAAGCCCACGGCUUAACUGUGGAAGUGCAUUUGAAACUGUCAGACUUGAGUACCAGAGGGGAAAGUGGAAUUCCCGGUGUAGAGGUGAAAUUCGUAGAUAUCGGGAGGAAUACCGGUGGCGAAGGCGACUUUCUGGCUGGAUACUGACGCUGAGGCGCGAAAGCGUGGGGAGCAAACAGGAUUAGAUACCCCAGUAGUC
This 450-nucleotide ribosomal RNA is filed under the name uncultured bacterium. RNAcentral describes it as "partial 16S ribosomal RNA". It matches the Rfam family "Bacterial small subunit ribosomal RNA", at positions 338 to 795 of the family's 1533-position model. The record is from RNAcentral.